ACAGAAGCCCUGCUGAGAAACGCUGCCUUAUAAUUAAGUUUGUUUAUUACAUGUGCAUGACUAAUAUUAGUAGCUCAAGAGUAACCCCAGAGUUCAGUGGGUACACCAUUCAUAAGAUCAAGACAACAAUAUUAUCAUACCCAUCACAUUUCUUACAAUCAGGUAAUUAAAAUGUCAGUUGCACCUAGACUCUAUAAGGCACAUCAAUUAGAUUGCAUAUGCUUACAGUUGGGAUUCCCCAAUAUUACAUAAUUUCAAAUUAAAUAGACAAUGUGA
Molecule: long non-coding RNA, 276 nt
Filed under: Pan troglodytes (chimpanzee)
Lineage: Eukaryota; Metazoa; Chordata; Mammalia; Primates; Hominidae
Description: long non-coding RNA NONPTRT017218
Source: RNAcentral